AAACUUUCAACAACGGAUCUCUUGGCUCUUGCAUCGAUGAAGAACGCAGCGAAUUGCGAUAAGUAGUGUGAAUUGCAGAAUUCCGUGAAUCAUCGAAUCUUUGAACGCAUAUUGCACUCUUUGGUAUUCCGAAGAGUAUGCCUGUUUGAGGGUCAUUU
Molecule: ribosomal RNA, 158 nt
Filed under: Archaeospora trappei
Lineage: Eukaryota; Fungi; Glomeromycota; Glomeromycetes; Archaeosporales; Archaeosporaceae
Also listed under: 2 other names
Description: 5.8S ribosomal RNA
Rfam family: 5.8S ribosomal RNA
About the family: 5.8S ribosomal RNA (5.8S rRNA) is a component of the large subunit of the eukaryotic ribosome. It is transcribed by RNA polymerase I as part of the 45S precursor that also contains 18S and 28S rRNA. Functionally, it is thought that 5.8S rRNA may be involved in ribosome translocation.
Source: RNAcentral